GUGCUCGCUUCAGCAGCAUAUAUACUAAAAUUGGAAUGAUGCAGAGAAGAUUAGCAUGAUGUCUGUGCAAGGAUGAAAUACAAAUUCAUGAAGCAUUCCAUAUUUUU
This is a small nuclear RNA of Cercocebus atys (sooty mangabey), 107 nucleotides long. Lineage: Eukaryota; Metazoa; Chordata; Mammalia; Primates; Cercopithecidae. The record is from Ensembl.